AGUGAAGGAGCUGCUUGAUCUACAGCAGAGUCCAACCUGUGGACUGGAGACUCUGAGGUGGGAGGAGUCUUGGUGGAGCAGAGUGUGAAGAGGACAGUGUGUGUGGACGGAGGCUGAGCUGUGUCCUGAGGAUCCAGAGGCUGAAGCAGCAGCAGCUUGUGUGUAGUCUCCAAUCUACACAACCCCUAAUCUGCAUGUGUUUGUGAGAUGAAGCCGGAGCACCUGGAGAAAACACGUGGAGAACAUGCAGACUCCACACAGGAAGACCCAUCUGAACCGGAUUCAAACCAGCAACCUUCCUGCCCCGAUUGUGUUUAUUCACAUGAAGAAUGUGUUUAUUGAAAUGACACAACACAAGCAGAAUAUAUAAACCCUCUAUAAAGAGUCA
Molecule: long non-coding RNA, 388 nt
Organism: Limanda limanda (common dab)
Lineage: Eukaryota; Metazoa; Chordata; Actinopteri; Pleuronectiformes; Pleuronectidae
Exons: 2
Source: RefSeq, a predicted model, not a curated record